Molecule: ribosomal RNA, 461 nt
Filed under: uncultured Saprospiraceae bacterium
Lineage: Bacteria; Pseudomonadati; Bacteroidota; Saprospiria; Saprospirales; Saprospiraceae
Description: bacterial SSU rRNA
Rfam family: Bacterial small subunit ribosomal RNA
Source: RNAcentral
CCUACGGGGGGCUGCAGUAAGGAAUAUUGGACAAUGGUCGGAAGACUGAUCCAGCCAUGCCGCGUGAAGGACGAAGGCGCUCAGCGUUGUAAACUUCUUUUGGAUGGGGAUAAUAACCUCGAUUUAUCGGGGCUUGAAGGUACCAUCAGAAUAAGCACCGGCUAACUCCGUGCCAGCAGCCGCGGUAAUACGGAGGGUGCGAGCGUUAUCCGGAAUCACUGGGUUUAAAGGGUGCGUAGGCGGCGAGGUAAGUCAGUUGUGAAAUUCCCCGGCUCAACCGGUGGGACUGCGAUUGAUACUGCUUUGCUUGAAACAGGUUGAGGUAAGCGGAAUGUGACAUGUAGCGGUGAAAUGCAUAGAUAUGUCAUAGAACACCGAUUGCGAAGGCAGCUUGCUGGGCCUUGUUUGACGCUGAGGCACGAAAGCGUGGGGAGCAAACAGGAUUAGAUACCCCGGUAGUC